AGCAGCCGCGGUAAUUCCAGCUCCAAUAGCGUAUAUUAAAGUUGUUGCAGUUAAAAAGCUCGUAGUUGAAUUUCAGGCCUGGCUGGACGGUCCGCCCUUCGGGUGAGUACUGUCUGUGGUCGGGUCCUACCUUCUGGCGAAGCGUCAUGGCCUUAACCGGCCGUGGCGGGGAACCAGGACUUUUACUGUGAAAAAUUAGAGUGUUCAAAGCAGGCAAUCGCUUGGAUACAUUAGCAUGGAAUAAUGGAAUAGGACAAUGGUUCUAUUUGUUGGUUUCUAGGACCGUUGUAAUGAUUAAUAGGGAUAGUUGGGGGCAUUAGUAUUCAAUUGUCAGAGGUGAAAUUCUUGGAUUUAUUGAAGACUAACUACUGCGAAAGCAUUUGCCAAGGAUGUUUUCAUUAAUCAAGAACGAAAGUUAGGGGAUCGAAGACGAUCAGAUACCGUCGUAGUCUUAACCAUAAACUAUAGCCGAC
RNAcentral lists this ribosomal RNA (473 nucleotides) under uncultured Paraglomus. Its description in RNAcentral is "SSU rRNA". It matches the Rfam family "Eukaryotic small subunit ribosomal RNA", at positions 569 to 1047 of the family's 1831-position model. The record is from RNAcentral. Lineage: Eukaryota; Fungi; Glomeromycota; Glomeromycetes; Paraglomerales; Paraglomeraceae.